CGGGUGAGUAAUGCCUAGGAAUCUGCCUGGUAGUGGGGGACAACGUUUCGAAAGGAACGCUAAUACCGCAUACGUCCUACGGGAGAAAGCAGGGGACCUUCGGGCCUUGCGCUAUCAGAUGAGCCUAGGUCGGAUUAGCUAGUUGGUGAGGUAAUGGCUCACCAAGGCGACGAUCCGUAACUGGUCUGAGAGGAUGAUCAGUCACACUGGAACUGAGACACGGUCCAGACUCCUACGGGAGGCAGCAUAU
RNAcentral lists this ribosomal RNA (250 nucleotides) under uncultured Pseudomonas sp. RNAcentral's name for it is "partial 16S ribosomal RNA". It matches the Rfam family "Bacterial small subunit ribosomal RNA", at positions 103 to 353 of the family's 1533-position model. Lineage: Bacteria; Pseudomonadati; Pseudomonadota; Gammaproteobacteria; Pseudomonadales; Pseudomonadaceae. The record is from RNAcentral.